UUUUUAUGGAGAGUUUGAUCCUGGCUCAGGAUGAACGCUGGCGGCGUGCCUAAUACAUGCAAGUCGAGCGAACAGACGAGGAGCUUGCUCCUCUAACGUUAGCGGCGGACGGGUGAGUAACACGUGGAUAACCUACCUAUAAGACUGGGAUAACUUCGGGAAACCGGAGCUAAUACCGGAUAAUAUAUUGAACCGCAUGGUUCAAUAGUGAAAGACGGUUUUGCUGUCACUUAUAGAUGGAUCCGCGCCGCAUUAGCUAGUUGGUAAGGUAACGGCUUACCAAGGCAACGAUGCGUAGCCGACCUGAGAGGGUGAUCGGCCACACUGGAACUGAGACACGGUCCAGACUCCUACGGGAGGCAGCAGUAGGGAAUCUUCCGCAAUGGGCGAAAGCCUGACGGAGCAACGCCGCGUGAGUGAUGAAGGUCUUCGGAUCGUAAAACUCUGUUAUUAGGGAAGAAUAAAUGUGUAAGUAACUAUGCACGUCUUGACGGUACCUAAUCAGAAAGCCACGGCUAACUACGUGCCAGCAGCCGCGGUAAUACGUA
This 548-nucleotide ribosomal RNA is filed under the name Staphylococcus epidermidis NIHLM023. RNAcentral's name for it is "bacterial SSU rRNA". It matches the Rfam family "Bacterial small subunit ribosomal RNA", at positions 1 to 529 of the family's 1533-position model. Lineage: Bacteria; Bacillati; Bacillota; Bacilli; Caryophanales; Staphylococcaceae. The record is from RNAcentral.